AGCAGCCGCGGUAAUUCCAGCUCCAAUAGCGUAUAUUAAAGUUGUUGCAGUUAAAAAGCUCGUAGUUGAAUUUCGGGAUCAAGGAAUCGGUCAUGCCUUGGUAUGUACUGGUUUUAUUGGUUCUCACCUUCUAAAGAACCAUAAUGUCAUUUAUUUGAUGUUAUGGGGAAUUAGGACUGUUACCUUGAAAAAAUUAGAGUGUUUAAAGCAAGCUUACGCUUGAAUACAUUAGCAUGGAAUAAUGAAAUAGGACAUCAGAUUCUAUUUUGUUGGUUUCUAGGAUCGAUGUAAUGAUUAAUAGGGAUAGUUGGGGGCAUUAGUAUUCAAUUGUCAGAGGUGAAAUUCUUGGAUUUAUUGAAGACUAACUACUGCGAAAGCAUUUGCCAAGGAUGUUUUCAUUAAUCAAGAACGAAAGUUAGGGGAUCGAAGACGAUCAGAUACCGUCGUAGUCUUAACCAUAAACUAUGCCGACUAGGGAUCGGAUGAUGUUAAUUUUUAAUUGACUC
Molecule: ribosomal RNA, 506 nt
Filed under: uncultured Glomus
Lineage: Eukaryota; Fungi; Glomeromycota; Glomeromycetes; Glomerales; Glomeraceae
Description: SSU rRNA
Rfam family: Eukaryotic small subunit ribosomal RNA
Source: RNAcentral